UAGGGAAUCUUCGGCAAUGGGGGGAACCCUGACCGAGCAACGCCGCGUGAGUGAAGAAGGUUUUCGGAUCGUAAAGCUCUGUUGUUAAGGAAGAACGAGUGUGAGAAUGGAAAGUUCAUACUGUGACGGUACUUAACCAGAAAGGGACGGCUAACUACGUGCCAGCAGCCGCGGUAAUACGUAGGUCCCGAGCGUUGUCCGGAUUUAUUGGGCGUAAAGCGAGCGCAGGCGGUUAGAUAAGUCUGAAGUUAAAGGCAGUGGCUCAACCAUUGUAGGCUUUGGAAACUGUUUAACUUGAGUGCAGAAGGGGAGAGUGGAAUUCCAUGUGUAGCGGUGAAAUGCGUAGAUAUUAGGAGGAAUACCGGUGGCGAAGGCGACUUUCUGGCCAUAACCUGACGCUGAGGUACGAAAGCGUGGGUAGCAAACAGG
This 429-nucleotide ribosomal RNA is filed under the name Bacteroidota bacterium. RNAcentral describes it as "Bacteroidetes bacterium partial 16S ribosomal RNA". It matches the Rfam family "Bacterial small subunit ribosomal RNA", at positions 355 to 776 of the family's 1533-position model. Lineage: Bacteria; Pseudomonadati; Bacteroidota. The record is from RNAcentral.